RNAcentral lists this ribosomal RNA (1033 nucleotides) under Dicephalospora rufocornea. Its description in RNAcentral is "SSU rRNA". It matches the Rfam family "Eukaryotic small subunit ribosomal RNA", at positions 69 to 1110 of the family's 1831-position model. The record is from RNAcentral. Lineage: Eukaryota; Fungi; Ascomycota; Leotiomycetes; Helotiales; Helotiaceae.
GCAGCUAUACGGUGAAACUGCGAAUGGCUCAUUAAAUCAGUUAUCGUUUAUUUGAUAGUACCUUACUACUUGGAUAACCGUGGUAAUUCUAGAGCUAAUACAUGCUAAAAACCCCGACUUCGGAAGGGGUGUAUUUAUUAGAUAAAAAACCAAUGCCCUUCGGGGCUCUUUGGUGAUUCAUAAUAACUUAACGAAUCGCAUGGCCUUGUGCCGGCGAUGGUUCAUUCAAAUUUCUGCCCUAUCAACUUUCGAUGGUAGGAUAGUGGCCUACCAUGGUUUCAACGGGUAACGGGGAAUUAGGGUUCUAUUCCGGAGAGGGAGCCUGAGAAACGGCUACCACAUCCAAGGAAGGCAGCAGGCGCGCAAAUUACCCAAUCCCGACACGGGGAGGUAGUGACAAUAAAUACUGAUACAGGGCUCUUUUGGGUCUUGUAAUUGGAAUGAGUACAAUUUAAAUCCCUUAACGAGGAACAAUUGGAGGGCAAGUCUGGUGCCAGCAGCCGCGGUAAUUCCAGCUCCAAUAGCGUAUAUUAAAGUUGUUGCAGUUAAAAAGCUCGUAGUUGAACCUUGGGCCUGGCUGGCCGGUCCGCCUCACCGCGUGCACUGGUCCGGCCGGGCCUUUCCUUCUGGGGAGCCGCAUGCCCUUCACUGGGUGUGUCGGGGAACCAGGACUUUUACUUUGAAAAAAUUAGAGUGUUCAAAGCAGGCCUAUGCUCGAAUACAUUAGCAUGGAAUAAUAGAAUAGGACGUGUGGUUCUAUUUUGUUGGUUUCUAGGACCGCCGUAAUGAUUAAUAGGGAUAGUCGGGGGCAUCAGUAUUCCGUUGUCAGAGGUGAAAUUCUUGGAUUUACGGAAGACUAACUACUGCGAAAGCAUUUGCCAAGGAUGUUUUCAUUAAUCAGUGAACGAAAGUUAGGGGAUCGAAGACGAUCAGAUACCGUCGUAGUCUUAACCAUAAACUAUGCCGACUAGGGAUCGGGCGAUGUUAUCUUUUUGACUCGCUCGGCACCCUUACGAGAAAUCAAAGUCUUUGG